AUUGAACGCUGGCGGCAGGCCUAACACAUGCAAGUCGAACGGUAACAGGAAGCAGCUUGCUGCUUUGCUGACGAGUGGCGGACGGGUGAGUAAUGUCUGGGAAACUGCCCGAUGGAGGGGGAUAACUACUGGAAACGGUAGCUAAUACCGCAUAACGUCGCAAGACCAAAGAGGGGGACCUUCGGGCCUCUUGCCAUCGGAUGUGCCCAGAUGGGAUUAGCUUGUUGGUGAGGUAACGGCUCACCAAGGCGACGAUCCCUAGCUGGGCUGAGAGGAUGACCAGCCACACGGGAACUGAGCAACGGCCCAGACUCCAACGGGAGGCAGCGGUGGGGAAUAUUGCACAAUGGGCGCAAGCCUGAUGCAGCCAUGCCGCGUGUAUGAAGAAGGCCUUCGGGUUGUAAAGUACUUUCAGCGGGGAGGAAGGUGUUGUGGUUAAUAACCGCAGCAAUUGACGUUACCCGCAGAAGAAGCACCGGCUAACUCCGUGCCAGCAGCCGCGGUAA
RNAcentral lists this ribosomal RNA (506 nucleotides) under uncultured bacterium. Its description in RNAcentral is "partial 16S ribosomal RNA". It matches the Rfam family "Bacterial small subunit ribosomal RNA", at positions 30 to 523 of the family's 1533-position model. The record is from RNAcentral.